The submitters of this non-coding RNA (47 nucleotides) gave its source as unclassified sequences. The record is from Rfam.
UGGGGGCCCCCCAUUGGAUGUGGCCCAUUUGGAGGCUGAACAAAUCA